GACCAAGUAGUGGGUUAAACUUCAAGUAUACGUUGAGUUCUCCACAUGACCCUGUCCUGUGUCUAAGCAGGGCAGUGUCUCUCGUCUUGCCCUCUUUCACU
Molecule: non-coding RNA, 101 nt
Organism: Electrophorus electricus (electric eel)
Lineage: Eukaryota; Metazoa; Chordata; Actinopteri; Gymnotiformes; Gymnotidae
Source: RefSeq, a predicted model, not a curated record